RNAcentral lists this ribosomal RNA (253 nucleotides) under uncultured bacterium. Its description in RNAcentral is "partial 16S ribosomal RNA". It matches the Rfam family "Bacterial small subunit ribosomal RNA", at positions 524 to 776 of the family's 1533-position model. The record is from RNAcentral.
GACGUAGGGAGCGAGCGUUGUCCGGAUUCAUUGGGCGUAAAGAGCGCGUAGGCGGCCGUGCAAGUCGGUUGUGAAAUCCCGGGGCUCAACCCCGGGACUGCGUCCGAUACUGCACGGCUCGAGGCAGGUAGGGGAGAGUGGAAUUCCCGGUGUAGCGGUGAAAUGCGCAGAUAUCGGGAGGAACACCGGUGGCGAAGGCGGCUCUCUGGACCUGUCCUGACGCUGAGGCGCGAAAGCUAGGGGAGCGAACCGG